GUUAAUAUGUUUUUCAUGGAAAUUGGAAGCUUUUUAGCAUAAUUUUUAAAAUUAGUAUUUUUUUAGUUAAUGGACCGGGCAAACCUGUAUGAGAGCAAGUAUGAGUAAUGUAUAAUAGAUAAUUUUUACUUUUGAUGACUUGUUUUAAUUGUAUAAAUAACAAGGUUAAAUUUGAGUUAUCGGGUACAAAUUUAAUUAUCUCUAUAUGUAAAACAACUCCUUUUUGCAUAUAAAGAAUUAGUAAUUAAAGUUAAGAGAUUCAGGAUAAUCUAAUAAUACCGUAAGUAUUACAUAUAAUUUUGAUUUUUGAACUGAUGUAUAUGGAAUUUUGAUCACCUUAUUUUGUCUGACUUGCAAUCUAUCAUACCCAUUUUGUAUGUAUCAGUAUAAAAUGUUGGUGCCUUGGGAAUUGGUGUUUUUUUUUUUUUUUUACAGUAUGUGGACAAAUGUCUUUUUUAUAAACUGUAUACAUUUACUUUUUGAAUAAUUGUUAGUAAUUUUACCCAAGGACUUGUUAUCAGUUCUUUGUCAAUUUUUAUUGAUCACCCAUAAUGACAUAAUCUUAUAAUUUGUAAGAGUAACUACAAUUUUGGCCGGAUCUGUUUCUGAUAAUUAAAAUAAUUUUAUUUUACCUUUUAUAAUUAA
Molecule: long non-coding RNA, 645 nt
Filed under: Rattus norvegicus (Norway rat)
Lineage: Eukaryota; Metazoa; Chordata; Mammalia; Rodentia; Muridae
Description: long non-coding RNA NONRATT025163
Source: RNAcentral